Molecule: long non-coding RNA, 887 nt
Organism: Oncorhynchus keta (chum salmon)
Lineage: Eukaryota; Metazoa; Chordata; Actinopteri; Salmoniformes; Salmonidae
Exons: 3
Source: RefSeq, a predicted model, not a curated record
GUUUGUUCCAAUAGGAUGCAGUGUGAACUAGGUUUGUGUUUGUUCCAAUAGGAUGGAGUGUGAACUAGGUUUGUGUUUGUUCCAAUAGGAUGCAGUGUGAACUAGGUUUGUGUUUGUUCCAAUAGGAUGCAGUGUGAACUAGGUUUGUGUUUGUUCCAAUAGGAUGCAGUGUGAACUAGGUUUGUGUUUGUUCCAAUAGGAUGCAGUGUGAACUAGGUUUGUGUUUGUUCCAAUAGGAUGCAGUGUGAACUAGGUUUGUGUUUGUUCCAAUAGGAUGCAGUGUGAACUAGGUUUGUGUUUGUUCCAAUAGGAUGCAGUGUGAACUAGGUUUGUGUUUGUUCCAAUAGGAUGCAGUGUGAACUAGGUUUGUGUUUGUUCCAAUAGGAUGCAGUGUGAACUAGGUUUGUGUUUGUUCCAAUAGGAUGCAGUGUGAACUAGGUUUGUGUUUGUUCCAAUAGGAUGCAGUGUGAACUAGGUUUGUGUUUGUUCCAAUAGGAUGCAGUGUGAACUAGGUUUGUGUUUGUUCCAAUAGGAUGCAGUGUGAACUAGGUUUGUGUUUGUUCCAAUAGGAUGCAGUGUGAACUAGGUUUGUGUUUGUUCCAAUAGGAUGCAGUGUGAACUAGGGUUGUGUUUGUUCCAAUAGGAUGCAGUGUGAACUAGGUUUGUGGGGCUGAUUCAAGGACGUGUCUGUGUGAAUGAAGUUUCCCUUUGGGCUGAGAGGCAGGAAGGGUGGAUGGACAGCACCCUUAAUCUCUCAUUAAUUAACCUCAGCUACCAUGAAGUGGAGUGUUGAUAUUAUUUGAUAAACAACAGUGGCACUGCUUAGUGCUCACGCAUUUCCACUGUGGUCCUCAAGUGGUCUUACUGGCAUGGGAACGAGGAGGUGA